UACAGAGGGGGCAAGCGUUAUCCGGAAUCAUUGGGCGUAAAGAGCGUGUAGGCGGUCCGGUAAGUCCGCUGUGAAAGUCGGGGGCUCAACCCUCGAAUGCCGGUGGAUACUGUCGGGCUAGAGUGCGGAAGAGGCGAGUGGAAUUCCUGGUGUAGCGGUGAAAUGCGCAGAUAUCAGGAGGAACACCUAUUGCGAAGGCA
This 200-nucleotide ribosomal RNA is filed under the name uncultured prokaryote. RNAcentral's name for it is "partial 16S ribosomal RNA". It matches the Rfam family "Bacterial small subunit ribosomal RNA", at positions 524 to 723 of the family's 1533-position model. The record is from RNAcentral.